RNAcentral lists this ribosomal RNA (464 nucleotides) under uncultured bacterium. RNAcentral's name for it is "partial 16S ribosomal RNA". It matches the Rfam family "Bacterial small subunit ribosomal RNA", at positions 339 to 795 of the family's 1533-position model. The record is from RNAcentral.
CUACGGGGGGCUCCAGUGGGGAAUAUUGGACAAUGGGGGAAACCCUGAUCCAGCAAUGCCGCGUGUGUGAAGAAGGCCUGCGGGUUGUAAAGCACUUUCGGUUGGGAGGACUGCUUCUAGCACUAAUAUUGUUGGAAGUUGACGUUACCUUCAGAAGAAGCACCGGCUAACUCCGUGCCAGCAGCCGCGGUAAUACGGAGGUGCAAGCGUUAAUCGGAAUUACUGGGCGUAAAGCGCGCGUAGGCGGCUAGAUCAGUCGGGUGUGAAAGCCCCGGGCUUAACCUGGGAACUGCAUCCGAUACUGUCUAGCUUGAGUACAGGAGAGGAGAGUGGAAUGCCACAUGUAGCGGUGAAAUGCGUAGAUAUGUGGAGGAACACCAAUGGCGAAGGCAGCUCUCUGGCCUGAUACUGACGCUGAGGUGCGAAAGCGUGGGGAGCAAACAGGAUUAGAUACCCGCGUAGUC